ACUCAAAGGAAUUGACGGGGACCCGCACAAGCGGUGGAUGAUGUGGUUUAAUUCGAUGCAACGCGAAAAACCUUACCCACCUUUGACAUGUACGGAAUCCUUUAGAGAUAGAGGAGUGCUCGAAAGAGAACCGUAACACAGGUGCUGCAUGGCUGUCGUCAGCUCGUGUCGUGAGAUGUUGGGUUAAGUCCCGCAACGAGCGCAACCCUUGUCAUUAGUUGCUACAUUCAGUUGGGCACUCUAAUGAGACUGCCGGUGACAAACCGGAGGAAGGUGGGGAUGACGUCAAGUCCUCAUGGCCCUUAUAGGUGGGGCUACACACGUCAUACAAUGGAUGGUACAAAGGGUCGCCAACCCGCGAGGGGGAGCCAAUCCCAUAAAGCCAUUCGUAGUCCGGAUCGCAGUCUGCAACUCGACUGCGUGAAGUCGGAAUCGCUAGUAAUCGUGGAUCAGAAUGUCACGGUGAAUACGUUCCCGGGUCUUGUACACACCGCCCGU
RNAcentral lists this ribosomal RNA (498 nucleotides) under uncultured bacterium. Its description in RNAcentral is "partial 16S ribosomal RNA". It matches the Rfam family "Bacterial small subunit ribosomal RNA", at positions 899 to 1397 of the family's 1533-position model. The record is from RNAcentral.